CUAUCUUCGAGGGCGUUUAAAACCUGAAGAUGGCUGCAACCGCGCAUGCCGAAACGUCAGGCAAAACCACCGUCCCAACCUUUGACCGAGAAGCCGGGAAGUAGCUCUGCUUCACCUCCAGGCAGUCUCUGUUAACAGUAACAACUGACAGUUUCGCUUAAGUCUCGGAGACUUCCAGCCACCGUCACAUGAAGA
Molecule: long non-coding RNA, 195 nt
Organism: Bacillus rossius redtenbacheri
Lineage: Eukaryota; Metazoa; Arthropoda; Insecta; Phasmatodea; Bacillidae
Exons: 2
Source: RefSeq, a predicted model, not a curated record